AGUGAACGCUGGCGGCGUGCUUAACGCAUGCAAGUCGAACGAGAACGGGUUAUAGCUUGCUAUAAUUGUCAGCUAAGUGGCGCACGGGUGAGUAAUGUAUAGGUAAUAUGCCUCUUACUAAGGGAUAACAAAUGGAAACGUUUGCUAAUACCUUAUACUCCUUAUUAACAGAAGUUAAUAAGGGAAAGAUUUAUUGGUAAGAGAUUAGCCUGUAUUGUAUCAGUUAGUUGGUGGGGUAAUGGCUUACCAAGACUAUGACACAUAACUGGUUUGAGAGGAUGAUCAGUCACACUGAACUGAGACACGGUCCAGACUCCUACGGGAGGCAGCAGAGGGGAAUAUUGCACAAUGGACGAAAGUCUGAUGCAGCAACGCCGCGUGGAGGAUGACACAUUUCGGUGCGUAAACUCCUUUUAUAUGAGAAGAUAAUGACGGUAUUAUAUGAAUAAGCACCGGCUAACUCCGUGCCAGCCGCCGCGGUAA
This 483-nucleotide ribosomal RNA is filed under the name uncultured bacterium. RNAcentral's name for it is "partial 16S ribosomal RNA". It matches the Rfam family "Bacterial small subunit ribosomal RNA", at positions 29 to 523 of the family's 1533-position model. The record is from RNAcentral.